UGGGGAAUAUUGGGCAAUGGGCGAAAGCCUGACCCAGCGACGCCGCGUGAAGGAAGAAGGCCCUCGGGUUGUAAACUUCAGUCAACAGGGAAGAAACAAAUGACGGUACCCUUGGAGGAAGCCCCGGCUAACUACGUGCCAGCAGCCGCGGUAAUACGUAGGGGGCAAGCGUUAUCCGGAAUUAUUGGGCGUAAAGAGUGCGUAGGUGGUUACCUAAGCAGGGGGUGAAAGGCAUUGGCUUAACCAAUGUUAGCCCCCUGAACUGGGCUACUUGAGUGCAGGAGAGGAAAGCGGAAUUCCUAGUGUAGCGGUGAAAUGCGUAGAUAUUAGGAGGAACACCAGUGGCGAAGGCGGCUUUCUGGACUGUUACUGACACUGAGGCACGAAAGUGUGGGGAGCAAACAGGAUUAGAUACCCUGGUAGU
This 424-nucleotide ribosomal RNA is filed under the name uncultured bacterium. RNAcentral describes it as "bacterial SSU rRNA". It matches the Rfam family "Bacterial small subunit ribosomal RNA", at positions 355 to 794 of the family's 1533-position model. The record is from RNAcentral.